This is a long non-coding RNA of Mustela erminea (ermine), 461 nucleotides long. RefSeq lists it as uncharacterized. The record is from RefSeq and is a predicted model, not a curated record. The transcript has 2 exons. NCBI's taxonomy places the organism in Eukaryota, Metazoa, Chordata, Mammalia, Carnivora, Mustelidae.
GGAGGCAAAACUGUGUUGUGUACUGGCAAGAGAAGUGUUCAAGACUUCCAAGGAGAGAACACUGAGCACUUUUCACACACAGAACAGCAAAAAGCCCAGAAAAAGAAAGACUGGUAGGUUGUUGAAUUGGCUGAUAACUGACUAGAAGACUUGAGUCGGCUCUCGGACAGCCAUCUGUUAGUAAUUUUCCCCUGAGGAAAAGUGGAGCUGCAAAUAACAAGAACACUUGUCCUACAGCAGAAGCAAACACAACUGCACAUCUGUGAGGCAGCACAUGUCCCCAACAAGCCUCAACAUGCAGGAACAUGACUCAUUUAAUCUACUGGCAAAGCAGGGUCGACGGCUGAUUAUAAGUAGUGUGGUUUUGGGGAAAUGAUUCCACCCACAUCACUUAAAAGGUAUCUAAAUAGUAAUGCGCAUGGACAAACUCAAACUCAGUUUCUAAGAAACCAUAAUGAAAC